Molecule: non-coding RNA, 37 nt
Filed under: Prorocentrum micans
Lineage: Eukaryota; Dinophyceae; Prorocentrales; Prorocentraceae
Source: RNAcentral
CACAAUGAAAAAAAAAAAAAAAAAAAAAAAAAAAAAA